Molecule: ribosomal RNA, 494 nt
Filed under: uncultured bacterium
Lineage: Bacteria
Description: bacterial SSU rRNA
Rfam family: Bacterial small subunit ribosomal RNA
Source: RNAcentral
GAUGAACGCUGGCGGCGUGCUUAACACAUGCAAGUCGAACGAAGCAUUUAGAACGGAUUACUUCGGUUUGAAGUUCUUUAUGACUGAGUGGCGGACGGGUGAGUAACGCGUGGGUAACCUGCCUUAUACAGGGGGAUAACAGUUGGAAACGACUGCUAAUACCGCAUAAGCGCACGGUAUCGCAUGAUACAGUGUGAAAAACUCCGGUGGUAUAAGAUGGACCCGCGUCUGAUUAGCUUGUUGGUGAGGUAACGGCCCACCAAGGCGACGAUCAGUAGCCGGCCUGAGAGGGUGAACGGCCACAUUGGGACUGAGACACGGCCCAAACUCCUACGGGAGGCAGCAGUGGGGAAUAUUGCACAAUGGGGGAAACCCUGAUGCAGCGACGCCGCGUGAGUGAUGAAGUAUUUCGGUAUGUAAAACUCUAUCAGCAGGGAAGAUAAUGACGGUACCUGACUAAGAAGCACGGCUAAAUACGUGCCAGCAGCCGCGGU